GGGUUGUGAGGUUAAGCGACUAAGCGUACACGGUGGAUGCCCUGGCAGUCAGAGGCGAUGAAGGACGUGCUAAUCUGCGAAAAGCGUCGGUAAGGUGAUAUGAACCGUUAUAACCGGCGAUGUCCGAAUGGGGAAACCCAGUGCAAUUCGUUGCACUAUCGUUAACUGAAUACAUAGGUUAACGAGGCGAACCGGGGGAACUGAAACAUCUAAGUACCCCGAGGAAAAGAAAUCAACCGAGAUUCCCCCAGUAGCGGCGAGCGAACGGGGAGCAGCCCAGAGUCUGAAUCAGCUUGUGUGUUAGUGGAACGGUCUGGAAAGUCCGACGGUACAGGGUGAUAGUCCCGUACACCAAAAUGCACAGGUUGUGAACUCGAAGAGUAGGGCGGGACACGUGGUAUCCUGUCUGAAUAUGGGGGGACCAUCCUCCAAGGCUAAAUACUCCUGACUGACCGAUAGUGAACCAGUACCGUGAGGGAAAGGCGAAAAGAACCCCGGCGAGGGGAGUGAAAAAGAACCUGAAACCGUGUACGUACAAGCAGUGGGAGCACCUUCGGGUGUGACUGCGUACCUUUUGUAUAAUGGGUCAGCGACUUAUAUUCUGUAGCAAGGUUAACCGUAUAGGGGAGCCGCAGGGAAACCGAGUCUUAACUGGGCGUUAAGUUGCAGGGUAUAGACCCGAAACCCGGUGAUCUAGCCAUGGGCAGGUUGAAGGUUGGGUAACACUA
RNAcentral lists this ribosomal RNA (728 nucleotides) under Klebsiella pneumoniae. RNAcentral describes it as "bacterial LSU rRNA". It matches the Rfam family "Bacterial large subunit ribosomal RNA", at positions 1 to 764 of the family's 2925-position model. The record is from RNAcentral. Lineage: Bacteria; Pseudomonadati; Pseudomonadota; Gammaproteobacteria; Enterobacterales; Enterobacteriaceae.